This 253-nucleotide ribosomal RNA is filed under the name uncultured bacterium. RNAcentral describes it as "partial 16S ribosomal RNA". It matches the Rfam family "Bacterial small subunit ribosomal RNA", at positions 524 to 776 of the family's 1533-position model. The record is from RNAcentral.
UACGUAGGGGGCAAGCGUUGUCCGGAAUCAUUGGGCGUAAAGCGCGUGUAGGCGGCCAGAAAAGUCCGCUGUGAAAACUCGAGGCUCAACUUCGAGCUGUCGGUGGAAACUUUCUGGCUAGAGUCCGGAAGAGGAGAAUGGAAUUCCUGGUGUAGCGGUGAAAUGCGCAGAUAUCAGGAAGAACACCCGUGGCGAAGGCGGUUCUCUGGGCAUGUCCUGACGCUGAGGAGCGAAAGUGUGGGGAGCGAACAGG